AAGGGGCCUGGCUCGGAGGACGCUGGCGGCGUGCUUACACAUGCAAGUCGAACGGAAAGGCUUUCUUGCUUGCAAGAGAGUACUCGAGUGGCGAACGGGUGAGUAACACGUGGGUGAUCUGCCCCUAACUUCGGGAUAAGCUUGGGAAACUGGGUCUAAUACCGGAUAGGACCACAUUUUAGUGUGUGUGGUGGAAAGUUUUUUCGGUUAGGGAUGAGCCCGCGGCCUAUCAGCUUGUUGGUGGGGUAAUGGCCUACCAAGGCGUCGACGGGUAGCCGGCCUGAGAGGGUGGACGGCCACAUUGGGACUGAGAUACGGCCCAGACUCCUACGGGAGGCAGCAGUGGGGAAUAUUGCACAAUGGGCGCAAGCCUGAUGCAGCGACGCCGCGUGGGGGAUUGAAGGCCUUCGGGUUGUAAACCUCUUUCGCUAGGGACGAAGCUUAUUUUGUGACGGUACCUAGAUAAGAAGCACCGGCUAACUACGUGCCAGCAGCCGCGGUAAUACGUAGGGUGCGAGCGUUGUCCGGAUUUACUGGGCGUAAAGAGCUCGUAGGUGGUUUGUCGCGUCGUCUGUGAAAUUCCGGGGCUUAACUUCGGGCGUGCAGGCGAUACGGGCAUAACUUGAGUGCUGUAGGGGAGACUGGAAUUCCUGGUGUAGCGGUGGAAUGCGCAGAUAUCAGGAGGAACACCGAUGGCGAAGGCAGGUCUCUGGGCAGUAACUGACGCUGAGGAGCGAAAGCAUGGGGAGCGAACAGGAUUAGAUACCCUGGUAGUCCAUGCCGUAAACGGUGGGCGCUAGGUGUGAGCCUCUUCCACGGGGUUCGUGCCGUAGCUAACGCAUUAAGCGCCCCGCCUGGGGAGUACGGCCGCAAGGCUAAAACUCAAAGGAAUUGACGGGGGCCCGCACAAGCGGCGGAGCAUGUGGAUUAAUUCGAUGCAACGCGAAGAACCUUACCUGGGCUUGACAUGUACAGGAUCGGGCUAGAGAUAGUUUUCCUUUUUAGGUCUGUAUACAGGUGGUGCAUGGUUGUCGUCAGCUCGUGGUCGUGAG
RNAcentral lists this ribosomal RNA (1052 nucleotides) under Corynebacterium kutscheri. RNAcentral describes it as "bacterial SSU rRNA". It matches the Rfam family "Bacterial small subunit ribosomal RNA", at positions 1 to 1071 of the family's 1533-position model. The record is from RNAcentral. Lineage: Bacteria; Bacillati; Actinomycetota; Actinomycetes; Mycobacteriales; Corynebacteriaceae.